AGCUCCAAUAGCGUAUAUUAAAGUUGUUGCAGUUAAAAAGCUCGUAGUUGGAUUUCUGGUACGAUGCGCCCGGCCCGCCGCGGUUACGCGUGUGAGUGCUGGAGCGCGUCUGCCAUCCUUCUGGAAAACGUUUCUACCCUUCACUGGGCCGGACUCGCGAUCCAGAUCCUUUACUUUGAAAAAAUUAGAGUGUUCAAAGCAGGCUUACGCUGUGAAUACAUUAGCAUGGAAUAAUAACUUAGGACUUCGCGUUCUAUUUUGUUGGUUUCUAGGACUGAAGUAAUGAUUGAUAGGGAUAGUUGGGGGUGCUAGUAUUCAGCCGGCCAGAGGUGAAAUUCUGUGAUUCGCUGAAGACUAACUUAUGCGAAAGCAUUCACCAAGGAUGUCUUCUUUAAUCAAG
RNAcentral lists this ribosomal RNA (400 nucleotides) under phytoplankton environmental sample. RNAcentral's name for it is "partial small subunit ribosomal RNA". It matches the Rfam family "Eukaryotic small subunit ribosomal RNA", at positions 587 to 981 of the family's 1831-position model. The record is from RNAcentral.